Molecule: ribosomal RNA, 195 nt
Filed under: uncultured bacterium
Lineage: Bacteria
Description: partial 16S ribosomal RNA
Rfam family: Bacterial small subunit ribosomal RNA
Source: RNAcentral
GCCUACGGGAGGCAGCAGUGGGGAAUUGUUCGCAAUGGGCGCAAGCCUGACGACGCAACGCCGCGUGAGUGAUGAAGGCCUUCGGGUCGUAAAGCUCUGUCAGAGGGAAAGAAGUGUAUUAUGGUUAAUACCCGUGAUACUUGACGGUACCCUCAAAGGAAGCACCGGCUAACUCCGUGCCAGCAGCCGCGGUAA